Molecule: non-coding RNA, 482 nt
Organism: Vicugna pacos (alpaca)
Lineage: Eukaryota; Metazoa; Chordata; Mammalia; Artiodactyla; Camelidae
Source: RefSeq, a predicted model, not a curated record
UGUGUGUGUGUAUGUGUGUGUGCGUGUGUGUCUAUGUGUGUGUGUGCAUGUGUGUGUGUGUGUAUGGGGAGACUGGGCAUCCUGCAUAUGAGAGGAAUGUAAAUUAUAAUUGGUCAAAGGACUCCAUGCAGUGAUUUCAAAACAUGAUUCCCAAAUCCUUUGACAUUUCUCCAUUUACUAAUUGGAAUCUCUGCCCUUCCCUUUAAUCGUGGCAGCCUUUGACUAACAGGGUACACUAAUGAAGCUGUAGGUAAUUUGUUAUUUAACCCUUUGACCUUGAAUAUCCCUUUCCAUUUAGAAGUUUAUAGCAUCUGUUCAGCAAUAACACAUACCACGAAAUGCACAUGUUUUCAGAGUAUGGCUAGGUGAGUUUUGGCAGUUGAGUACACCUGUAUAACCACCACUCCAUUAGGUUAUGGAGCAUUUUCAGAAAACUCUCUGGAACCAAGUGGCUCUUUCCAGACAUCUUUAUUUUCCUCUUC